UCAUAUGUAAAUGUGCUGUCAUUGGCUGCUCGUCGUUGAAGAUAAUUCAAAGUUUCUUCAAGGGCUCCAGGAAGCCUGUGCUCUUCAUUGUAUGCAGGUAUGACCAAGGAUAUGUACUUCUCAGCAGGAUCAAAUAUAUGAGGACAAGGAACCGGCUUAAAUGAAGUCGGAUCUUCAAAAACAGGAGGAGCUUCCACAUGCGUAUGAUUGAAUCUUCUUCUGAAUGUUUCGAAUACAAUUGCAGCAGCUAAUCCAAAUGCAAGAACAAUAGCUGAGAUCAGUAGUAACUCCAAAAUCGCCCAAAUUGAUUCCAUUUUUGUAGGGUUAAAUCGAACAAAUUGAGUGA
Molecule: unclassified non-coding RNA, 346 nt
Filed under: Hevea brasiliensis (rubber tree)
Lineage: Eukaryota; Viridiplantae; Streptophyta; Magnoliopsida; Malpighiales; Euphorbiaceae
Source: RNAcentral